Molecule: ribosomal RNA, 1296 nt
Filed under: uncultured Ralstonia sp.
Lineage: Bacteria; Pseudomonadati; Pseudomonadota; Betaproteobacteria; Burkholderiales; Burkholderiaceae
Description: bacterial SSU rRNA
Rfam family: Bacterial small subunit ribosomal RNA
Source: RNAcentral
GCAGUCGACGGCAGCAUGAUCUAGCUUGCUAGAUUGAUGGCGAGUGGCGAACGGGUGAGUAAUACAUCGGAACGUGCCCUGUAGUGGGGGAUAACUAGUCGAAAGAUUAGCUAAUACCGCAUACGACCUGAGGGUGAAAGUGGGGGACCGCAAGGCCUCAUGCUAUAGGAGCGGCCGAUGUCUGAUUAGCUAGUUGGUGAGGUAAAGGCUCACCAAGGCGACGAUCAGUAGCUGGUCUGAGAGGACGAUCAGCCACACUGGGACUGAGACACGGCCCAGACUCCUACGGGAGGCAGCAGUGGGGAAUUUUGGACAAUGGGGGCAACCCUGAUCCAGCAAUGCCGCGUGUGUGAAGAAGGCCUUCGGGUUGUAAAGCACUUUUGUCCGGAAAGAAAUCGCACUUACUAAUAUUAGGUGUGGAUGACGGUACCGGAAGAAUAAGGACCGGCUAACUACGUGCCAGCAGCCGCGGUAAUACGUAGGGUCCAAGCGUUAAUCGGAAUUACUGGGCGUAAAGCGUGCGCAGGCGGUUGUGCAAGACCGAUGUGAAAUCCCCGGGCUUAACCUGGGAAUUGCAUUGGUGACUGCACGGCUAGAGUGUGUCAGAGGGGGGUAGAAUUCCACGUGUAGCAGUGAAAUGCGUAGAGAUGUGGAGGAAUACCGAUGGCGAAGGCAGCCCCCUGGGAUAACACUGACGCUCAUGCACGAAAGCGUGGGGAGCAAACAGGAUUAGAUACCCUGGUAGUCCACGCCCUANACGAUGUCAACUAGUUGUUGGGGAUUCAUUUCCUUAGUAACGUAGCUAACGCGUGAAGUUGACCGCCUGGGGAGUACGGUCGCAAGAUUAAAACUCAAAGGAAUUGACGGGGACCCGCACAAGCGGUGGAUGAAGUGGAUUAAUUCGAUGCAACGCGAAAAACCUUACCUACCCUUGACAUGCCACUAACGAAGCAGAGAUGCAUUAGGUGCUCGAAAGAGAAAGUGGACACAGGUGCUGCAUGGCUGUCGUCAGCUCGUGUCGUGAGAUGUUGGGUUAAGUCCCGCAACGAGCGCAACCCUUGUCUCUAGUUGCUACGAAAGGGCACUCUAGAGAGACUGCCGGUGACAAACCGGAGGAAGGUGGGGAUGACGUCAAGUCCUCAUGGCCCUUAUGGGUAGGGCUUCACACGUCAUACAAUGGUGCAUACAGAGGGUUGCCAAGCCGCGAGGUGGAGCUAAUCCCAGAAAAUGCAUCGUAGUCCGGAUCGUAGUCUGCAACUCGACUACGGAAGCUGGAAUCGCUAGUAUCGCGGAUCA